Molecule: long non-coding RNA, 544 nt
Organism: Spodoptera litura
Lineage: Eukaryota; Metazoa; Arthropoda; Insecta; Lepidoptera; Noctuidae
Source: RefSeq, a predicted model, not a curated record
AGUUUCAAAUUCGUUGAUACAGUCAUGAGGCAAUUAUUAUUUUUAAUUUUAGUCCUUACAUUAACAGUAAUAGUAGAAAAUGUUCCAGUUAAUAAAAAUACGCCUGAACCAGUGGACAGUGACUUUGAAACGAAUACAGCUUAUGUGACAAGUGAAAGUGCAAACGAGAGUGAACCUUCUCAUAAUGUGAAUAAACGUGAAAAUUUCGAAGGAGGCUGCAUUUCAAAAACGCAGAGGUUUAACGGUUUCUGUGCUAUGUUAUUAGGAUGAUGAGGUUAUAGACUUAAUGAACUAUAUUUUGAGCUUAGUAUUGCCCAAGUGAUAGAUAAACGUGUCUUAGGACUGAAAUGGUCGGUACUAAAAAUAUUGUAGCACAGUACAGUGUACAGUGGGAGGUUGCUAUGGUGAUAUAGAAGAACGAACCUUUCUUCGGCAGUCACAUCUUGCAGCUUACAGAAGAUGAUGAUAUCGUACAAAUAAAGGAUAACUGCCGGAAUCUACAGUAUGAUGAGUAGACCGUACAGCUAAUACACCAAUCAGGAAA